This 253-nucleotide ribosomal RNA is filed under the name uncultured bacterium. RNAcentral describes it as "partial 16S ribosomal RNA". It matches the Rfam family "Bacterial small subunit ribosomal RNA", at positions 524 to 776 of the family's 1533-position model. The record is from RNAcentral.
UACAGAGACUGCAAGCGUUAUUCGGAUUCACUGGGCGUAAAGGGUGCGCAGGCGGCCGAGUGUGUGAGGCGUGAAAGCCCGGGGCUUAACCCCGGAAUUGCACCUCAAACUACACGGCUAGAGCAUUGGAGAGGGUAGCAGAAUUCAUGGUGUCGCAGUGAAAUGCGUAGAUAUCAUGAGGAAUACCAGAGGCGAAGGCGGCUACCUGGGAUAACACUGACGCUCAUGCACGAAAGCGUGGGGAGCAAACAGG